UUACUCUGGCUUCUCUUCAUCGUAUGAUUCUUUCGCCUUUUACUAAAGAAUUCCGUGGAGGGGAGCAUUUCAAUGAGUCUUAAGAUAUUUUUCUGCACCUGACGUCGGUCAGGUU
This is a small nuclear RNA of 115 nucleotides. Its record names the gene U5. It matches the Rfam family "U5 spliceosomal RNA". From Rfam's summary of the family: U5 RNA is a component of both types of known spliceosome. The record is from Ensembl.